RNAcentral lists this long non-coding RNA (1125 nucleotides) under Dicentrarchus labrax (European seabass). RNAcentral's name for it is "lncRNA (ENSDLAG00005029611.1)". Lineage: Eukaryota; Metazoa; Chordata; Actinopteri; Moronidae. The record is from RNAcentral.
AUGCAGCACUUUAAACAUCACUCUGAGCUUUAUGGGAAAGCUUUUAUUGUGCUAGACAGCCGUGGGGGGGAUUUGGAAGGGUUCUUCCGUCACAAAUCUUCCCCAUACCCACCUGCAUUGUCAUCUGAAGGAGCACUCAACUCUUGUACCAAGUCAGAUUUGUUGGUAUACAUCAUGGAAGCCAGUACGAGUAGCAACAUUUCUAUAGAUGACAAGUUAGUUGUGCCAGGUGUUUAUGACUUCAUUGUCAUUGAUGGUGGAGUGCUAAUACAUUCUCUUCCUGGCACAAGUGUCCAAGGGAAGACCUUCGACUCAUAUUUUGGCAAGGUAUUCUGCCCAAGAGUUCACCAUGACUUAAAACGAUCAACAAGAGUAGACAUCAUCUGGGACCAGUAUCAUGAACUAACAAUCAAAGGAGGCACAAGGGAAAAGCGAGGAACGGGCACCCGACAAUGUGUAUCUGGUAUGGCCAAAAUCCCAGGAGAUUGGCAGAAGUUUCUGGCAAGCAUUGGCAACAAGAAAGAGCUGUUCUCAUUCCUUUCAAAUAAGUUGUUAACAGAUGGACAGUUCCCAGAUGACAAGGAUGUCUAUGUCACUGCAGCUGAUCAAGUCCACCAUGUUGGAAACGGUCAACCAAUGGAUCAAUGCAACCAUGAGGAAGCUGAUACUCCUGUCUUAGUACAUCUCCUCCACGCCCUCCAAACAUCAUCACUUGGGUUGGUGCAUACUGGAGACACAGAUGUGGUUGUAAUCCUUCUGAGUAAUUUUCAUCACAUCAAGACUGUGAAUGCAGCUGCCGAAAUCUGGAUCACCUUUAAAGCUGGAAAGAUAACCAGAAUGAUAUCCCUGAACACAAUCGCCACAAACGUAGGCAUGACAACAUGCAAAGCCAUGGCUCUCUUCCACACAUUCACUGGAUCAGACAGCACAUCUUCCUUUAAGUUCAAGGGCAAGCGAUCCUGCUGCAAGUUGAUGCACAAAGUGCCAUUCCCCAUGGAAGAAUUUGCAGCGAUUGUCGACACUCCAUUCCAAACAUUACCAAGGAUGAAAAAAGUGGCGGCAAAAUUGGUCUGUCGGCUGUAUUCCAAUGAGGAGAAUGAGGAGAAUGAUGUUGAUCUUCUCUGA